AGCCAGUUUCUUCGGGGCGGAGCUCGACCGCCAACACAAGAAGUAGUCGCGUUCAUCGACGCCAACCGCGCCGAGUUCGGAGUCGAGCCGAUCAUCACCACGCUGGCCAGCGCCGAGGUGACGAUCGCUCCG
Regulatory RNA element from Nakamurella panacisegetis, 132 nucleotides. It matches the Rfam family "ALIL pseudoknot". The record is from Rfam. Lineage: Bacteria; Bacillati; Actinomycetota; Actinomycetes; Nakamurellales; Nakamurellaceae.